Molecule: non-coding RNA, 479 nt
Organism: Paramuricea clavata
Lineage: Eukaryota; Metazoa; Cnidaria; Anthozoa; Malacalcyonacea; Plexauridae
Source: the annotation of a GenBank genome assembly
CCGGAUACAACUAGCUGUUUUUCGAAAUUGAGAGCAAUUUUAAAUCUGUUCAGUUUUUUUUUAUACACCCUGUAUAAUUGCCAAAAGCUACGUUUUGGUUUAACGUAGCCAUCUCGCUGAAAAAAUGUCUUCUUUAAUUUUAACUUUUUUUAUCUUUCAACAUUUUCAAUCAUAUUUCGGCCUAUUUGCAUAAUCCGAGUCCACAACCAUGCUCAAAAUGCUUAUCAGCGGCUUUUUCAUCAAUCACUAUUUUAUGGAAUUUUGUUUUUAAACACAACACGUAUACCGUUAUUAGUCACACUACGUGAUUAGUCAACUAUACGACUAGCCUGCGAGGCAGGCUCUGGUGAGGGUAAGGAAGAACUUGCAGUCGCUUUUCAUAAAUUUUUGUGCCGCCUCUUAUAUAAUAAAUUAAAAUUCGCUCUAUAGAUUUACCAAUCAUAAUAUUAUCAGAGCAGAAAUUUGUUGUUUACUUCCUG